CCUGAUCUAAAGAAACAUCAGGCCGGGCGCGGUGGCUCACGCCUGUAUGGGAGGCCGAGGCGGGUGGAUCACGAGGUCAGGAGAUCGAGACCACGGUGAAACCCCGUCUCUACUAAAAAUACAAAAAAAAUUAGCCGGGCGCGGUGGCGGGCGCCUGUAGCCCCAGCUACUCGGGAGGCUGAGCCAGGAGAAUGGCGUGAACCCGGGAGGCAGAGCUUGCAGUGAGCCGAGAUCGCUCCACGGCACUCCAGCUUGGGCAACAGAGCGAGACUCCAUCUUAAAAAAAAAAAAAAAAAGAAACAUCAGUGGAAGAGGAAGAAACUGCAGGUCAUGCAUUCCAGUUUUCUCUCCUAAUCUUUACUUUCAAUUUUUACUCUAACAUGCAAAGUUUCCAUUGAUUUCUAAAGGAGAGACCAGCAAAGGAGUGAAGGAAGCAGAGCAAGGAAGGAGAAUAAGCUACACAAUGCUGUGAUUACAGGUACAGGAAUAAACUUACGUGAUCCUCAUUUCAAGGAGAAGAAGGAGAAGUUGAAGAAGGAGGAGAAGGAGAAGGAUGAGAAGAAAAACAAGAAGAGGAAGGAGAAGGAGGAGGAAAAUGAGAAGGAGAAGAAGAGAAGGAACAGCAGCAGUUGCAGGAGGAGGAGAAAGAGGAGGAGGAGGAGGAGGGAGUGUGCAGAAGCUGGGGGGGAUUCCAAUGUUGGAAGCAUUUUUAGCGUACAACAACAUCCAAGUGGAUUACUAUGAAUGCCUAGACCUCUAUGGCAAACAGUCUCUUCGUGGCCUGUGCUGAGGACUACAUCAGUCUCCUGCAAUUAUCAUCUACACUGAAAAACAAAGAGGACAGAGGCGAAGCUAGUGGCCCUCACCAUCCCCUGCAAGCUGAUUGCUUCUUACUGCAAGCACUUGAGCAUCUUCCUGAGAGCUUUCUUGGGCAAUGGGAACCAGGCUUGGCCCAAUCACAGGCAGGUGAAGUAUGAGGAAAUGGAGAAGGCAUUGUCCAAGGAGCAGUCUUCAACCUUCACCCCGCAAGUGAGACAACUCUGAAUAAGAUGUGUUCUACACUCUCUUCCAAAGGUCCCCAGUUGGAUGGAGCUCUAGCUGCUCAUGUGAUAAGCUGCCUAUUAAUACACAAAAGAUUGCCUUUCCUCCUUGCUCUGUCUUCCUGCUGCUCUCCUACUAAUGUUUCCUGGGAUUGCCUCCAAAUAAACCACUUGAACUCACA
This 1222-nucleotide long non-coding RNA is filed under the name Homo sapiens (human). Its description in RNAcentral is "HSALNT0399666". The record is from RNAcentral. Lineage: Eukaryota; Metazoa; Chordata; Mammalia; Primates; Hominidae.